Molecule: transfer RNA, 393 nt
Filed under: Olea europaea subsp. europaea
Lineage: Eukaryota; Viridiplantae; Streptophyta; Magnoliopsida; Lamiales; Oleaceae
Rfam family: tRNA (bases 165-238)
Source: RNAcentral
AAAUACUCAUUUUUUUCACAAUGGGUUCUAUAUUUCGAAAAUUUAUAAUAAGUUUUUUACUUUUCUUAUUAUUAUAUGUUUAAUGAAACCAAAAAUACGAAACGGGACUAAGGAUGUGGAAAACAAGACAGGAAUUCUCUACAAUGACACUGUAGAACAAUUGAAGGGAUGUGGCGCAGCUUGGUAGCGCAUUUGUUUUGGGUACAAAAUGUCACGGGUUCAAAUCCUAUCAUCCCUACCUAUUACUGCUCCUUUGAGCAGUAACAAGGAAUCAACUGAGAUCCAUUCAAAUUGGGUAGAAUCUUUCAUUUUUUGAAGCUAUAUAGUAUAUGCAGACAAAAUGAAAAUGGAUUAGGGUUACAAAAAUAAUCUUUUUCUUUAUAGUCUUAUCUU